UACGUAGGGGGCGAGCGUUGUCCGGAUUUAUUGGGCGUAAAGAGCGUGUAGGCGGUUCGGUAAGUCUGUCGUGAAAUCCUGAGGCUCAACCUCGGGCGUGCGAUGGAUACUGCCGGGCUAGAGGGUGGUAGAGGCGAGUGGAAUUCCCGGUGUAGCGGUGAAAUGCGCAGAUAUCGGGAGGAACACCAGUAGCGAAGGCGGCUCGCUGGGCCACACCUGACGCUGAGACGCGAAAGCUAGGGGAGCGAACGAG
Molecule: ribosomal RNA, 253 nt
Filed under: uncultured bacterium
Lineage: Bacteria
Description: partial 16S ribosomal RNA
Rfam family: Bacterial small subunit ribosomal RNA
Source: RNAcentral